Long non-coding RNA from Jaculus jaculus (lesser Egyptian jerboa), 1611 nucleotides. RefSeq lists it as uncharacterized. The transcript has 5 exons. NCBI's taxonomy places the organism in Eukaryota, Metazoa, Chordata, Mammalia, Rodentia, Dipodidae. The record is from RefSeq and is a predicted model, not a curated record.
AAGGAAAAGUGCUGUCCACUUCCACUGUUAAGACCCAUGUCUACCAUACAGUGGGCACUCAUUAAAUGCUUGCUGGACUGACAGAACCUGAUCAGAAUGAUUUUUUUUCACACUUCUGUUCAACUGCAGUUCCCAGAAGAUGUGUAUGGAUAUGCAUUUGCUUUCGUUUAUACACCUGGUUUUGGGUCACUUUUCAAUAAAUCUGGAAGACUCCUGGCCAUCAUCUUCCUAAGUGUUAACUCCACAAGAUUGCUGCUCAAACUUCCAUCUCUGAGUCUGUGUCCUGAGGAAACUAAUUCAAUUGAAGACACAACCCUGUGGGUGGAGGACAUGUAGGUUCUCCCUUGGGCCUCGCCCACCUGCUUCCUCACAGUAGACAUUCAGAAAUGCCUGUGGAGUGGAUCCAUGAAUGACGACAGAGCUGCUUGAAUCUGACCUGCUCAGUUUUCCCAAUCUAUACCAUUUUCCUGAUUUUUACUAACUAGGCUUGGACUUUCAAAGCCUGAGAAAUUAAUCUUGAGCCCAGGAUUGACAUGCUCCCUCAGGCAACUUUUGUCUCUCAGAACCCAUUAAACUGAGCCGGCUGUCUUUUGGGAGGUGGAAAGGCAGAUUGAUGGAGAAGACCACAUCUGGAGAAUCUAUAGUAGGAUGAGGGUGUGCUCCUCCCAGGACGUGCUCCUCCCAGGAUGUGCUCCUCCCUGGAUGUGCUCCUCCCAGGAUGUGCUCCUCCCAGGACGUGCUCCUCCCAGGAUGUGCUCCUCCCAGGACGUGCUCCUCCCAGGACGUGCUUUUCCCAGGACGUGCUCCUCCCAGGUCGUGCUCUUCCCAGGAUGUGCUCCUCCUAGGACGUGCUUUUUCCAGGACGUGCUCCUCCUAGGAUGUGCUCCUCCCAGGUCGUGCUCUUCCCAGGACGUGCUCCUCCCAGGAUGUGCUCCUCCCAGGACGUGCUCAUCCCAGGUCGUGCUCUUCCCAGGAUGUGCUCCUCCCAGAAUGUGCUCCUCCCAGGACGUGCUCCUUCCAGGAUGUGCUCCUCCUAGGAUGUGCUCCUUCCAGGAUGUGCUGCCUCUCCACAUGACCAGAGAACUAGGGCUACUUGACCAUGGAUUGAAACCUACAAGAGUAUAAUCAAAAGUCAACCUCUCCAUUUUCAAAGUUUAUUAUCAUAGAUACUUUUUCAUAGUGAUGGGAUGCUAACUAAUUCAUUCAUUGAUGACUUUUAAAAGUGUGAGUAGAAUUGGAACAGGGAAGAAGGGGUCUAAGUGUGCAACAUUUUUAUAAAAAAAUCAAUACGUUUUUUUUUCUUAAGUGUGAGAUGGAUGCAAGACUGCCAAAACAGCCUCUUGUAGUUGAAGGAGAAAUAUUUCACACUGUUUCACAGUAUAUAAAAAUUUCAAAUUGGUUAUUCCUAGUGUCCAUGCAAGGAGAUCUCUUGUGAGAAUGACAGACUCUGUGUGUGGACACAGAGAAAAGGAGAGUCAACACAAUCACCCUAGAUCCCACCCAUUCCUGACUAAAUGCUAUAUGAGAUCAUAAAGUUCCUUAUUAUUGAAACAGAUCAAAUUGAGAUUCUCUACUACAUGGGUCAGAGCACCUUAUUUGGUAUAUACCUAA